RNAcentral lists this transfer RNA (79 nucleotides) under Anguilla anguilla (European eel). Its description in RNAcentral is "tRNA-OTHER". The record is from RNAcentral. Lineage: Eukaryota; Metazoa; Chordata; Actinopteri; Anguilliformes; Anguillidae.
GGCAGUGUAGCACAGUGGGUCUAGAGCUGGUCUUGUAACCUGAAGGUCACAGGUUCGAUUCCUGGGUAGGACACUGCCG